GCUUGUCUCAAAGAUUAAGCCAUGCACGUCUGAGAAUAAAGGGUUUUCUCUGAAUCUGCGAAUGGCUCAUUAUAUCAGUUAUAGUUUAUUUGAUAGUCCCUUACUACUUGGAGAACCGUAGUAAUUCUAGAGCUAAUACAUGCAUCAACUCCCAACUGCUUGUCGGAUUUAUUAGAUGGAAACCAAUGCGGGGCAACCCGGUGUUGUGGUGAAUCAUGAUAACUUUGCGGAUCGCGUCCUCGUGUCGCGACGAAUCAUUCAAGUUUCUGCCCUAUCAGCUUAGGAUGGGAGGGUAUUGGCCUACCAUGGCUUUGACGGGUAACGGAGAAUUAGGGUUCGAUUUUGGAGAGGGAGCCUGAGAGAUGGCUACCACAUCCAAGGAAGGCAGCAGG
Molecule: ribosomal RNA, 392 nt
Filed under: Pseudocharaciopsis ovalis
Lineage: Eukaryota; Eustigmatophyceae; Eustigmatales; Pseudocharaciopsidaceae
Description: partial small subunit ribosomal RNA
Rfam family: Eukaryotic small subunit ribosomal RNA
Source: RNAcentral